AUUGAACGCUGGCGGCAGGCCUAACACAUGCAAGUCGAACGAGCGGCAGACGGGUGAGUAAUGUCUGGGAAUCUGCCUGAUGGAGGGGGAUAACUACUGGAAACUGUCGCUAAUACCGCAUACCAUCAGAUGUGCCCAGAUGGGAUUAGCUAGUGGGUGGGGUAACGGCUCACCAAGGCGACGAUCCCUAGCUGGUCUGAGAGGAGGACCAGGCACACUGGAACUGAGACACGGUCCAGACGCCUACGGGAGGCAGCAGUGGGGAAUAUUGCACAAUGGGCGCAAGCCUGAUGCAGCCAUGCCGCGUGUAUGAAGAAGGCCUUCGGGUUGUAAAGUACUUGCAGCGGGGAGGCGUUACCCGCAGAAGAAGCACCGGCUAACGCCGUGCCAGCAGCCGCGGUAAUUC
RNAcentral lists this ribosomal RNA (406 nucleotides) under uncultured bacterium. RNAcentral describes it as "partial 16S ribosomal RNA". It matches the Rfam family "Bacterial small subunit ribosomal RNA", at positions 30 to 526 of the family's 1533-position model. The record is from RNAcentral.